AGGCAGAGAUCACCCAGGCUCGGCCUGGGUGACUGCAGGUUGGCCGCAGGGAGCAAGGUGGCUCCGGCGGCGUCGGCGGCGCGCGCCGACGGCGGGGGCCGGCGAGGGUCGGCGCCGGAGGUAGCUCUCUGCCACAGGGUGAAGGAUCCUCGGGGCUUCGCGCGUUUCCCUGUGUACUCAGGCCGAGAGGGUGGUGGUUCGGUUGAAAGAGAAAGAUGGAAGGUGGCCGGGUUCCAAUUUUCCGGCGGCCGGGGCACCUGCCGGCGGCCGAGGUGCGCGCAUGGGCUGGGCAGGGACCAGUUAGGGUCGGCUGAGGGAGGGGAAGCUAGGGUUAGGGUUUCCAAGCCAAAAGAAACUAACUUCAACCUAUAAAUGUAGUGUAAUUUGCGGAAAUGUCCUCCAAGAAUCAACAAUUCUAUCCGAGUCCCUCACAGCGCGAGUAAAUCGCGCGGAUACCCCUCCACGACCGAUUUCACGCGAAACGGUACAUAAAAUAUUGCAACUUUUGCGAAGUUUCCGAUUUUGCCAAUUCGACCCCUCAGCGAACAUUUCGCGUUUCCCGAAAAUCCGUCCGUCGGAUUUUCAAUCCGACAGCACCAUUGCGUUCAGCACGUCGGGUGCAUCGAAUCUAGCAUUUCGUUUCGUCCGAUUUGACCUCCGAUUCACGACGAAAUCUGUCCGCUCUCCAAUUUCAAAAACCACACACAUAUAUCAAUGUGUAAUCCCGCUAGAUUCUUUAAUUCAAAUUCAAAUUUGAAUCUCCUACCACUAGUAGGUACAUGUAACAUCUCUCACCUUACUCUAGGUCACAUACACAGAUCACGAGGGGUGUCAUAAUGCAAGAAUAACAAAGAACGAAAACCCUCAUUUUGAUAAAACUCCUUUUUUUCUCGAAAACCGUGCAUCGGAUCUGAAAUCCGUCAAUGCCAUUGGUUCCAGAAUAGCUGAUCCAAUCGAAACGAGCUAUUGGACCGCUAUGAACGGAGUUCGAUACGCGCCGAUAGCCAGCUCUACUCCGUGGCUUCACCGAAAAACCGGAGUUACUAUUCACUUAAGUGAAAACUAAUAAUCGCGUAACUUCUCCGUUUUAGCUCAGUUUCUCCUGAAACUUGACGAGUGCUUAUGUAAUUAAAUUACACAUAUAAACAUCGUCAACAAAGAGUUUAGUAGCACAGUAAAAAUCUCAGUCCUUACACUGUCUGUCUGUGAUCUGUUUUGGACCCGACGAGGACGUCAGGGUCUAAACAGGGGGAGUUUGUAACGCCCCCAAUAGUCCCACAUCGGAUGGGAUACUGAUUCCGAUCAAUUUAUAUGAGGCCUACACGCUAGUAAUAAUAACUGGGCUUAAGCAUUUUGGGCCGGUGGUUUGGGCCCAACGAAUUAUUGUUGCUAGCGAGUCGGGUCGUUGCAUAUUUGGUGCUUUUGGAAGUAUUCUAGCUCAACUCUCUCUCUAUCUCUCUCUCUCUCUCUCUCUCUCUCUCUCUAUAUAUAUAUAUAUAUUAGUAAUUCAUCAAUAUUUAAUUAAAAAAUGGGUUUUAGGACUCAAUUGCAAUAAUUUAGAAAGUUUGAAAAAAAUAACAACAAAUUAAAGUUUUAGAGCUGAAAUGUCACUCUCCUUAUAGUUUGAGAACCAAAAGUGUAAUUUUUAAAGAUAUAUUACGUAUGCAACGAGCUUGAACUUUAGGUUGUUUGAAAAUAAAUACAUAUUCUUUAAUAAUAUCCCUUCAAAAGCGCCAACUGUUAAAAUUAUACAUAAGUGUCCUCCCAAAAAGUAUUUUAUUGAACAAUAUAAGAGGGAUAAAAGGAUAAAUUUAACUCAUUUACAAAUUAAAAUUAAAUAUCUUACUUAUGGUUAAGUAUAUUUUUCUAACGGAUCCUAACAGCAAGAAUACAUUUAAAAAUAUUAGAACUUUUAUAAAUAUAAAAAUAAAAGUUGAACUUUAUACGAAUAUAUGUGCUAUUCCAUACGUUUACAAGAACUUGAAUGUAAUUAACCCUCUUAAAGAAGGCCCGCAAUAAUAUUCUAAUAAUAGAUAAAUGCAAAAAGAAAUAGGAUGCUUUGCGUCCAUCCUCCUGGAUACAAAUGUGUAAGAACAACUCUUCCUACUCGUAGGUUGAGAGUUCGAGGAUGGAUACAACAAGACCCUUUAAACCCUUGAAGAGGUAUUCCAAAAUACCUUCUUUUGAACUAUAAUAAGAAUUUUAGGUCUUUGAAAGAUGAAUUUGCUAACAAUAUUUCAUAAAAUAUAGUUACUUAUGUGCUACAAUUUUAGACUUUUAAGAAGCAAAAUAUAAUUUUCUGAGACAGGAGCCAGAAUGUAAAAGCAGGUAUUUAUAAGAGAAAUUUCUGCAUUUUAGCCCUUUUUUCCUCAAAUGUUUUGAUUUUCACUCUUAAAUUUAUUAGAUUUUGAUAUAUUUUGGAUUAGACGUUACAUAUAAAAAUAGAAAAGUAUCACUUUCAUCCGGC
RNAcentral lists this long non-coding RNA (2467 nucleotides) under Ananas comosus (pineapple). RNAcentral's name for it is "long non-coding RNA (ACOM_LNC025475)". Lineage: Eukaryota; Viridiplantae; Streptophyta; Magnoliopsida; Poales; Bromeliaceae. The record is from RNAcentral.